RNAcentral lists this long non-coding RNA (868 nucleotides) under Fukomys damarensis (Damara mole-rat). Its description in RNAcentral is "lncRNA (ENSFDAG00000031516.1)". Lineage: Eukaryota; Metazoa; Chordata; Mammalia; Rodentia; Bathyergidae. The record is from RNAcentral.
CUUGGUAUUAUCUUUGUCCCUCUUUUAUGUCUAUUGCCAUCAGCUGAAUUGAGGGUCAUGUUUCAAACACAUAGCCUCGUUCCUACCCAUCGCUGGUCCGUUUCAUCUUUCCUGGAGGCAGCUGUACUCACUUUCUAAAUCACCUCCCCCCACCCCCGUGCUGGCCAGAGGCAGGGUUAGGAUUUAUACCUGAGUCUGUAUUCUCCUAAGUCCCACACACUAUGUCGAGUUGACUUCUCGGCACAUCAGAGAUCUGCCUGGCUCUCACAGGCUUUGGCACAUACAGGAGGGCAGCAGGGCCCAUGGCAAAUCAGCUCUCGGCCAGAGCAGGCUUUCCAGGAAGUGUAAAGGCUGCAGUCAUGCACCCGAAGGACGCCUCAGGGCAAGGCGCUUUGCGUGCUCUGAGGUCCAGCACGGAAGAUCCCAAGAGGAUGAGAAUGUUGGGGACCAGAGUGUGUCGCUGUGCCCUGGAAAGAGAUCGCCUCGACAGCCACCCCGAAGAUUCACCUGCUUUCCUAUUUCCAGCCCAUACUGGUUCUUGGAAGCCCAGUGACACCUAGAUGUCCCCGCCAUUGAGGUGGGAGGACAGAAUCAGAGUUUGUGCGCUUCUUUCUGGUCGUGAUGGCGAGAUCUGGUGGGAAAAGGCAGGAAAGAAGCAAUGCCUCGACAUAAAGAGAAACGUUAGUAGUGUUUUGAAUUUCUGAUCUAGAAAAACGACUGGUCGGGAUGAAACUGACUUUUUAGUGUUUUCAAAAUAUCUCAGUUUGAAACUUUCACCUGUUCUGGUCUGUUCACCUUUCUCCUAAUGUUGCUUCCCAGCCUUGGUUGGAGGGAAGACCAGGAGAGGGCAGAGAUGGGAUUACCCAGG